GGCCCGGCCCUGGGUAGCCCUGCCAGGCCCUGUGCGGGUUGAGGGCGUGGCCUGGCCCUGGGUAGCCCAUUUGCUCCUCCCCGCCCUUUAGCUUGCUCCUCACAGAGGAGCCCAACUCGGAGGAGGGAGAGUUCUGUGGGUUUCUGAGGCACAGGCGUGUGUGCCAGGGUCUUUUUCAGGGCUAGAUGAAAAGAGUUGUGUUCAUCAAUGGACAAAACCUAGGCUGCUACUGGUCAUUAGGUCCCCAGAAAACCCUAUACCCAGACAGCACUAUGGCUUCAUUCUGGAACAAAUGAGGUGAACUCUGCCCAUGUCACCUGUGCCCCAGUCCACCCAGAGGCAGAACUUGAACCUCACAGCUGCCUCACCUUGACAGAUCAUCGUGUUUGAGGAAGUGGAAGCUGGUCUCUAGCUGAUCCAGUUCACAGAACAGCCUCAUUUGGGUAUGGCAUUCUGAAGGGUCUUUUGUGGCAUCUGGAUGACCUUCUGGAUGUUUCUAGCUGAGACAAGAACAAAGGAGGCAGGAUGUGUGCUCUCGCAGGGCCCUGAA
This is a long non-coding RNA of Sapajus apella (tufted capuchin), 550 nucleotides long. RefSeq lists it as uncharacterized. NCBI's taxonomy places the organism in Eukaryota, Metazoa, Chordata, Mammalia, Primates, Cebidae. The record is from RefSeq and is a predicted model, not a curated record. The transcript is spliced from 2 exons.